RNAcentral lists this ribosomal RNA (468 nucleotides) under uncultured bacterium. RNAcentral's name for it is "partial 16S ribosomal RNA". It matches the Rfam family "Bacterial small subunit ribosomal RNA", at positions 28 to 507 of the family's 1533-position model. The record is from RNAcentral.
GACGAACGCUGGCGGCGUGCUUAACACAUGCAAGUCGAACGGAAAGGCCCUGCUUUUGUGGGGUGCUCGAGUGGCGAACGGGUGAGUAACACGUGAGUAACCUGCCCUUGACUUUGGGAUAACUUCAGGAAACUGGGGCUAAUACCGGAUAGGACCUCCUGCUGCAUGGUGGGGGUUGGAAAGUUUCGGCGGUUGGGGAUGGACUCGCGGCUUAUCAGCUUGUUGGUGGGGUAGUGGCUUACCAAGGCUUUGACGGGUAGCCGGCCUGAGAGGGUGACCGGCCACAUUGGGACUGAGAUACGGCCCAGACUCCUACGGGAGGCAGCAGUGGGGAAUAUUGCACAAUGGGCGGAAGCCUGAUGCAGCAACGCCGCGUGCGGGAUGACGGCCUUCGGGUUUUAAACCGCUUUCGCCUGUGACGAAGCGUGAGUGACGGUAAUGGGUAAAGAAGCACCGGCUAACUACGUG